UGUAUUUAUUAGAUAAAAAACCAACGCCCUUCGGGGCUUCUUGGUGAUUCAUGAUAACUUCACGGAUCGCAUGGCCUUGCGCCGGCGACGGUUCAUUCAAAUUUCUGCCCUAUCAACUUUCGAUGGUAAGGUAUUGGCUUACCAUGGUUUCAACGGGUAACGGGGAAUUAGGGUUCGAUUCCGGAGAGGGAGCCUGAGAAACGGCUACCACAUCCAAGGAAGGCAGCAGGCGCGCAAAUUACCCAAUCCCGACACGGGGAGGUAGUGACAAUAAAUACUGAUACAGGGCUCUUUUGGGUCUUGUAAUUGGAAUGAGUACAAUUUAAACCUCUUAACGAGGAACAAUUGGAGGGCAAGUCUGGUGCCAGCAGCCGCGGUAAUUCCAGCUCCAAUAGCGUAUAUUAAAGUUGUUGCAGUUAAAAAGCUCGUAGUUGAAACUUGGGCCUGGCUGGCAGGUCCGCCUCACCGCGUGUACUUGUCCGGCCGGGCCUUUCCUUCU
Molecule: ribosomal RNA, 499 nt
Filed under: uncultured eukaryote
Lineage: Eukaryota
Description: SSU rRNA
Rfam family: Eukaryotic small subunit ribosomal RNA
Source: RNAcentral